This 505-nucleotide ribosomal RNA is filed under the name uncultured bacterium. Its description in RNAcentral is "partial 16S ribosomal RNA". It matches the Rfam family "Bacterial small subunit ribosomal RNA", at positions 28 to 507 of the family's 1533-position model. The record is from RNAcentral.
GACGAACGCUGGCGGCGUGCCUAAUACAUGCAAGUAGAACGCACAGUUUAUACCGUAGCUUGCUACACCAUAGACUGUGAGUUGCGAACGGGUGAGUAACGCGUAGGUAACCUGCCUGGUAGCGGGGGAUAACUAUUGGAAACGAUAGCUAAUACCGCAUAAUAUUAAUUAUUGCAUGAUAAUUAAUUGAAAGGUGCAAUUGCACCACUACCAGAUGGACCUGCGUUGUAUUAGCUAGUAGGUGAGGUAACGGCUCACCUAGGCGACGAUACAUAGCCGACCUGAGAGGGUGAUCGGCCCCACUGGGACUGAGACACGGCCCAGACUCCUACGGGAGGCAGCAGUAGGGAAUCUUCGGCAAUGGACGAAAGUCUGACCGAGCAACGCCGCGUGAGUGAAGAAGGUUUUCGGAUCGUAAAGCUCUGUUGUAAGAGAAGAACGGGUGUGAGAGUGGAAAGUUCACACUGUGACGGUAUCUUACCAGAAAGGGACGGCUAACUACGUG